GAUGAACGCUGGCGGCGUGCCUAAUACAUGCAAGUCGAGCGAACAGACGAGGAGCUUGCUCCUCUGACGUUAGCGGCGGACGGGUGAGUAACACGUGGAUAACCUACCUAUAAGACUGGGAUAACUUCGGGAAACCGGAGCUAAUACCGGAUAAUAUAUUGAACCGCAUGGUUCCAUCGUGAAAGACGGUUUUGCUGUCACUUAUAGAUGGAUCCGCGCCGCAUUAGCUAGUUGGUAAGGUAACGGCUUACCAAGGCAACGAUGCGUAGCCGACCUGAGAGGGUGAUCGGCCACACUGGAACUGAGACAGGGUCCAGACUCCUACGGUAGGCAGCAGUAGGGAAUCUUCCGCAAUGGGCGAAAGCCUGACGGAGCAACGCCGCGUGAGUGAUGAAGGUCUUCGGAUCGUAAAACUCUGUUAUUAGGGAAGAACAAAUGUGUAAGUAACUAUGCACGUCUUGACGGUACCUAAUCAGAAAGCCACGGCUAACUACGUG
Molecule: ribosomal RNA, 497 nt
Filed under: uncultured bacterium
Lineage: Bacteria
Description: partial 16S ribosomal RNA
Rfam family: Bacterial small subunit ribosomal RNA
Source: RNAcentral